UCGCUUCAGCAGCACAUGUUCUAAAAUAGGAACAUUACAGAGAUUAGCAUGGCCCCUGUGCAAAGAUGACACCCAAAUUCAUGAAACAUUCUGUAUUUUA
This is a small nuclear RNA of Heterocephalus glaber (naked mole-rat), 100 nucleotides long. The record is from Ensembl. Lineage: Eukaryota; Metazoa; Chordata; Mammalia; Rodentia; Bathyergidae.